RNAcentral lists this ribosomal RNA (109 nucleotides) under uncultured bacterium. RNAcentral's name for it is "partial 16S ribosomal RNA". It matches the Rfam family "Bacterial small subunit ribosomal RNA", at positions 1365 to 1482 of the family's 1533-position model. The record is from RNAcentral.
AAUACGUUCCCGGGCCUUGCACACACCGCCCGUCAAGCCAUGGAAGCUGGGUGUACCUAAAGUCGGUAACCGCAAGGAGCCGCCUAGGGUAAAACUAGUGACUGGGGCU